GUGGCGACGGUGAGUACACGUUGGAACCUGCCCCAAAGUAAGGGAUAAGCCACCGAAAGGUGGUCUAAUACCUUAUAGUAUCCAUCUCGUAUGGAUUAAAGCUUUAUGCGCUUUGGGAGGGGCCUGCGUUUGAUUAGCUAGUUGGUGAGGUAAAAAGCUCACCAAGGCGACGAUCAAUAGCUGGUUUGAGAGGAUGACCAGCCACACUGGGACUGAGAUACGGCCCAGACUCCUACGGGAGGCAGCAGUAAGGAAUCUUCCACAAUGGGGCAACCCUGAUGGAGCAAUACCGCGUGCAGGAUGAAGCGUUUCGGCGUGUAAACUGCUUUUAUCACCGAAGAUUAUGACUGUAGGUGAAGAAUAAGGACCGGCUAACUACGUG
Molecule: ribosomal RNA, 382 nt
Filed under: uncultured bacterium
Lineage: Bacteria
Description: bacterial SSU rRNA
Rfam family: Bacterial small subunit ribosomal RNA
Source: RNAcentral